GUGCUCACUUUGGCAGCACAUAUACUAACACUGGAAUGAUACAGAGAAGAUUAACAUGGCCCCUGCACAAGGAUGACACAAAAAUCUGUGAAGCAUUCAUUUUU
This is a small nuclear RNA of Ictidomys tridecemlineatus (thirteen-lined ground squirrel), 104 nucleotides long. The record is from Ensembl. Lineage: Eukaryota; Metazoa; Chordata; Mammalia; Rodentia; Sciuridae.